GUGCUGAAGCAACAAAUGCCCUGCUUCCAGGAAAAGCCUCUAAGCAUCAGGUAACACGAAAUCGUACCCCAAACCGACACAGGUGGUCAGGUAGAGAAUACCAAGGCGCUUGAGAGAACUCGGGUGAAGGAACUAGGCAAAAUGGUGCCGUAACUUCGGGAGAAGGCACGCUGACACGUAGGUGAAGUGAUUUACUCAUGGAGCUGAAGUCAGUCGAAGAUACCAGCUGGCUGCAACUGUUUAUUAAAAACACAGCACUGUGCAAACACGAAAGUGGACGUAUACGGUGUGACGCCUGCCCGGUGCCGGAAGGUUAAUUGAUGGGGUCAGCGCAAGCGAAGCUCCUGAUCGAAGCCCCGGUAAACGGCGGCCGUAACUAUAACGGUCCUAAGGUAGCGAAAUUCCUUGUCGGGUAAGUUCCGACCUGCACGAAUGGCGUAAUGAUGGCCAGGCUGUCUCCACCCGAGACUCAGUGAAAUUGAACUCGCUGUGAAGAUGCAGUGUACCCGCGGCAAGACGGAAAGACCCCGUGAACCUUUACUAUAGCUUGACACUGAACAUUGAGCCUUGAUGUGUAGGAUAGGUGGGAGGCUUUGAAGUGUGGACGCCAGUCUGCAUGGAGCCGACCUUGAAAUACCACCCUUUAAUGUUUGAUGUUCUAACGUGGACCCGUAAUCCGGGUUGCGGACAGUGUCUGGUGGGUAGUUUGACUGGGGCGGUCUCCUCCUAAAGAGUAACGGAGGAGCACGAAGGUUGGCUAAUCCUGGUCGGACAUCAGGAGGUUAGUGCAAUGGCAUAAGCCAGCUUGACUGCGAGCGUGACGGCGCGAGCAGGUGCGAAAGCAGGUCAUAGUGAUCCGGUGGUUCUGAAUGGAAGGGCCAUCGCUCAACGGAUAAAAGGUACUCCGGGGAUAACAGGCUGAUACCGCCCAAGAGUUCAUAUCGACGGCGGUGUUUGGCACCUCGAUGUCGGCUCAUCACAUCCUGGGGCUGAAGUAGGUCCCAAGGGUAUGGCUGUUCGCCAUUUAAAGUGGUACGCGAGCUGGGUUUAGAACGUCGUGAGACAGUUCGGUCCCUAUCUGCCGUGGGCGCUGGAGAACUGAGGGGGGCUGCUCCUAGUACGAGAGGACCGGAGUGGACGCAUCACUGGUGUUCGGGUUGUCAUGCCAAUGGCACUGCCCGGUAGCUAAAUGCGGAAGAGAUAAGUGCUGAAAGCAUCUAAGCACGAAACUUGCCCCGAGAUGAGUUCUCCCUGAGACUU
RNAcentral lists this ribosomal RNA (1260 nucleotides) under Salmonella enterica. Its description in RNAcentral is "bacterial LSU rRNA". It matches the Rfam family "Bacterial large subunit ribosomal RNA", at positions 1582 to 2823 of the family's 2925-position model. The record is from RNAcentral. Lineage: Bacteria; Pseudomonadati; Pseudomonadota; Gammaproteobacteria; Enterobacterales; Enterobacteriaceae.